UCUGGGGUUCAAAACCCAUGUCCAGCAUGCGAUCAGCCUCAUCUAGUACAAGAUAAGAAACCUGAUGUAGACUGAUUCUCCUCAUCUCAAGAAUAUCAUUCAAACGACCAGGAGUUGCAACUACAAUAUCUACUCCACGGUCUAUAUCCCUCAAUUGUGGACCCUUUGGUGCUCCUCCAUAUAGACACGCACAAGAGAUUCUUGAUGACUUCCCAAACUUCACAGCUUCAUCUUGAAUUUGUGUUGCCAAUUCCCUUGUUGGUGACAACACCAAAACAGAAGGACCUAGCUUAGGAUCAUUUCGAAUGCGCUUGAGAUGAAUAAAACCUGGUAUUAAGUACCCAAGGGUUUUCCCUGAGCCUGUUUUAGCAAUAGCUACAAUAUCUCUACUUUGAAGAGCAAUUGGCCAUGACUGCGCCUGAAUUGGAGUUGGAGCAGAGAACCCUGCAUUAUGUACCUCCCUAAGAAUCUCAGGUGGGAAACCAGUGGCUUCAAAUGAUGAAAAUGGUGGCGGCACAUUAUCUCCCGAAAAGGUUAUUUCAUGUCGUUGACGAUAAGACUCGGCAGAUAAACCACUUCCUGCAUCUGAUGGUCUGUGUCCUUUCAACGGUGCUCCUCCAUGCCCUGUACUAGGUGUUCCAUUUGAGGUAUCAUGUGAUUGAAAGGUUUCACCCCUUGCAGCCUCGUGUUUGGGUGCAUGGGAACCUCUUCCGUACUUAUCAUUAUUUUCAUUCAAAUUAUUACUAUAAGAGUGGCCUGAGGAUGGCUUUUGAAUUUGAACGGAAGAACUUAUGGACACUAUUGAUGAAUUAAGAGGAGCAGCAGCCACAGGUCUCUCGUAUUGGGUGACAUUAGUUUCCGGAUUCCAAAAGUAAAGAUACCCUGUUUUUCCAUCAACUAAACCUCUCCAUGGUUUGGGAAGGGUUGGAUCCUCUGGUGCAUAUCGUGGUCCAACAGAUACAGCAGUAGCAGUAGCCGCCAUAAUGAGGAACAGAAGAUAUAUAACUCAGCGACUGUGAUAAAUGAGGCCGGGUGGAUGGAAACCAAUCGAAAAUCGAAACGAUAGCGAUGCGUUAUCUCUCUACCACGCUUCCGACGGCAGAG
RNAcentral lists this unclassified non-coding RNA (1104 nucleotides) under Hevea brasiliensis (rubber tree). Lineage: Eukaryota; Viridiplantae; Streptophyta; Magnoliopsida; Malpighiales; Euphorbiaceae. The record is from RNAcentral.